UUAAUGGGUGAUAGCGUGCCUUUUGUAGAAUGAACCGGCGAGUUACGAUUUGUUGCAAGGUUAAGCGGAAAAAGCGGAGCCGUAGCGAAAGCGAGUCUGAAUAGGGCGCAUAAGUAACAGGUCGUAGACCCGAAACCAGGUGAUCUACCCAUGUCCAGGAUGAAGGUAAGGUAAUACUUACUGGAGGUCCGAACCCACGCACGUUGAAAAGUGCGGGGAUGAGGUGUGGGUAGCGGAGAAAUUCCAAUCGAACUUGGAGAUAGCUGGUUCUCUCCGAAAUAGCUUUAGGGCUAGCCUCGAGGUAAAGAGUCAUGGAGGUAGAGCACUGUUUGGACUAGGGGCCCUUCUCGGGUUACCGAAUUCAGAUAAACUCCGAAUGCCAUGUACUUAUACUCGGGAGUCAGACUGCGAGUGAUAAGAUCCGUAGUCGAAAGGGAAACAGCCCAGACCACCAGUUAAGGUCCCCAAAUAUAUGUUAAGUGGAAAAGGAUGUGGGGUUGCUUAGACAACCAGGAUGUUGGCUUAGAAGCAGCCACCAUUGAAAGAGUGCGUAAUAGCUCACUGGUCGAGUGACCCCGCGCCGAAAAUGUACCGGGGCUAAACAUAUUACCGAAACUGUGGAUGAACCUCUUUAGAGGUUCGUGGUAGGAGAGCGUUCUAAGGGCGGUGAAGUCAGACCGGAAGGACUGGUGGAGCGCUUAGAAGUGAGAAUGCCGGUAUGAGUAGCGAAAGAAGGGUGAGAAUCCCUUCCACCGAAUAUCUAAGGUUUCCUGAGGAAGGCUCGUCCGCUCAGGGUUAGUCGGGACCUAAGCCGAGGCCGAUAGGCGUAGGCGAUGGACAACAGGUAGAGAUUCCUGUACCAGUGCUAAUUGUUUAACCGAUGGGGUGACACAGAAGGAUAGGGAAUCGCACGAAUGGAAAUGUGCGUCCAAGCAGUGAGUGUGAGAAGUAGGCAAAUCCGCUUCUCGCGAAGCAUGAGCUGUGAUGGGGAAGGAAAUUAAGUACGGAAGUUCCUGAUUUCACGCUGUCAAGAAAAGCCUCUAGGAAGAGUAGUACUGCCCGUACCGCAAACCGACACAGGUAGAUGAGGAGAGAAUCCUAAGGUGAGCGAGAGAACUCUCGUUAAGGAACUCGGCAAAAUGACCCCGUAACUUCGGGAGAAGGGGUGCUCUAUUAGGGUGCAAGCCCGAGAGAGCCGCAGUGAAUAGGCCCAGGCGACUGUUUAGCAAAAACACAGGUCUCUGCAAAACCGUAAGGUGACGUAUAGGGGCUGACGCCUGCCCGGUGCUGGAAGGUUAAGAGGAGUGCUUAGCUUCGGCGAAGGUACGAAUUGAAGCCCCAGUAAACGGCGGCCGUAACUAUAACGGUCCUAAGGUAGCGAAAUUCCUUGUCGGGUAAGUUCCGACCCGCACGAAAGGCGCAACGAUCUGGGCACUGUCUCAACGAGAGACUCGGUGAAAUUAUAGUACCUGUGAAGAUGCAGGUUACCCGCGACAGGACGGAAAGACCCCGUGGAGCUUUACUGCAACCUGAUAUGGAAUGUUUGUACCGCUUGUACAGGAUAGGUAGGAGCCGAAGAGACGUGUGCGCUAGCAUACGAGGAGGCAAUGGUGGGAUACUACCCUGGCUGUAUGACCAUUCUAACCCGCCACGCUUAGCGCGUGGGGAGACAGUGUCAGGUGGGCAGUUUGACUGGGGCGGUCGCCUCCUAAAGAGUAACGGAGGCGCCCAAAGGUUCCCUCAGAAUGGAUGGAAAUCAUUCGCAGAGUGUAAAGGCACAAGGGAGCUUGACUGCGAGACUGACAAGUCGAGCAGGGACGAAAGUCGGGCUUAGUGAUCCGGUGGUUCCGCAUGGAAGGGCCAUCGCUCAACGGAUAAAAGCUACCCCGGGGAUAACAGGCUUAUCUCCCCCAAGAGUCCACAUCGACGGGGAGGUUUGGCACCUCGAUGUCGGCUCGUCGCAUCCUGGGGCUGUAGUCGGUCCCAAGGGUUGGGCUGUUCGCCCAUUAAAGCGGCACGCGAGCUGGGUUCAGAACGUCGUGAGACAGUUCGGUCCCUAUCCGUCGCGGGCGCAGGAAAUUUGAGAGGAGCUGUCCUUAGUACGAGAGGACCGGGAUGGACACACCGCUGGUGUACCAGUUGUUCCGCCAGGAGCAUCGCUGGGUAGCUAUGUGUGGCAGGGAUAAACGCUGAAAGCAUCUAAGCGUGAAGCCCCCCUCAAGAUGAGAUUUCCCAUUUCUUCGGAAAGUAAGAUCCCUGAAAGAUGAUCAGGUAGAUAGGUUUGGAGUGGAAGUGUAGCGAUACAUGGAGCGGACAAAUACUAAUCGAUCGAGGACUUAACCAA
This 2344-nucleotide ribosomal RNA is filed under the name Listeria monocytogenes. Its description in RNAcentral is "partial 23S ribosomal RNA". It matches the Rfam family "Bacterial large subunit ribosomal RNA", at positions 586 to 2925 of the family's 2925-position model. Lineage: Bacteria; Bacillati; Bacillota; Bacilli; Caryophanales; Listeriaceae. The record is from RNAcentral.